CCCCCUCCAAAAAAAUAAUGGUCCAUCCCUUAUCACGAAAAUUAUCAGUACAUGAAAGCUUUGCUCCCAUAAGGCCAUAAAUGAAAAUUUUAUUAUUCACCGGCGGAUAAAAGUAUUGUCACAUUGUACUGUUUCAUCUAAUCAUAGCUAUAGGUUUAAUGAGCGCUCGUAGCUGAGCUGUGAGCUCCAUAAUGAUAUAUAGCUGGAGCAAGAACUUCAGUCACUAGGCCUUUGAGAAAAG
This is a non-coding RNA of Paramuricea clavata, 241 nucleotides long. The record is from the annotation of a GenBank genome assembly. Lineage: Eukaryota; Metazoa; Cnidaria; Anthozoa; Malacalcyonacea; Plexauridae.